This is a long non-coding RNA of Macrobrachium nipponense, 655 nucleotides long. RefSeq lists it as uncharacterized. The record is from RefSeq and is a predicted model, not a curated record. NCBI's taxonomy places the organism in Eukaryota, Metazoa, Arthropoda, Malacostraca, Decapoda, Palaemonidae. The transcript is spliced from 3 exons.
UUAUCAUUUCACAUUCUGAUUAACCUUCUAACCGUCUCCCGAGAGAUUCGUCACAUACAGUUUCUUGUUUGUGAGCGUGGGGGUCCCUUAAUGGGUAAACUUGAAUGAUUUCUCGUCACUACCAAAGCGUAACACAGUUCAACGUCUUCUGUUAGUCUGUUGGAAACGCCUUUGUGGAUUGAUGGGGCAUUUCUCGUCUGUAAAUGAGUAGCUAAGGACACCCACCUGGGAAAAUGUUGAGAGCGAGGUAUUUACUGCUGUUUACGGUUGCUGCCUUAACCGCCCUAGACUCUGAUGCCUAUAGGGUACUCUUCAUCGGAGUACUUGGUACUAAAAGCCAUACGAACUUCUACAUAGGCAUCGUUAAAGCUCUUGCGGACAGCGGACACCACGUGACUUUCGUGACUGCAUACACGCAAGAAGAAUCGCGGAAGAAUCCGAACAUCACUGAAAUAUGGGUUCCCGAAGGAGACGCCAAUCGACUUAACCAGAACCGAUUCAACACGUCGACCAUCAGCUUGUAGCUCAGUUAGUAGAGUUGUACCUUUGUGCAUAGAAUCCCUGGGGAAUAACCAAGUACAGGGAUUGUUACGAGACGAAUUUGAUGUCGUCUUGUUGUCGCCAUUCAACGAUUGCUACCUCUCAAUCGUCUUCC